UACGGAGGGUGCGAGCGUUAAUCGGAAUUACUGGGCGUAAAGCGCGCGUAGGCGGUCAGGCAAGUCGGGUGUGAAAGCCCUGGGCUCAACCUGGGAAUUGCAUUCGAAACUAUCUGACUCGAGUAUGGGAGAGGGAAGCGGAAUUUCCGGUGUAGCGGUGAAAUGCGUAGAUAUCGGAAGGAACACCUGUGGCGAAAGCGGCUCACUGGACCAUAACUGACGCUGAGGCGCGAAAGCUAGGGGAGCAAACAGG
RNAcentral lists this ribosomal RNA (253 nucleotides) under uncultured bacterium. RNAcentral describes it as "partial 16S ribosomal RNA". It matches the Rfam family "Bacterial small subunit ribosomal RNA", at positions 524 to 776 of the family's 1533-position model. The record is from RNAcentral.